RNAcentral lists this ribosomal RNA (253 nucleotides) under uncultured bacterium. RNAcentral's name for it is "partial 16S ribosomal RNA". It matches the Rfam family "Bacterial small subunit ribosomal RNA", at positions 524 to 776 of the family's 1533-position model. The record is from RNAcentral.
UACGUAGGCGGCAAGCGUUGUCCGGAAUUAUUGGGCGUAAAGAGCGUGUAGGCGGCCAGGUAGGUCUGCUGUGAAAACUCGAGGCUCAACCUCGAGACGUCGGCGGAAACCAUCUGGCUAGAGUCCGGAAGAGGAGAGUGGAAUUCCUGGUGUAGCGGUGAAAUGCGCAGAUAUCAGGAGGAACACCGAUUGCGAAGGCAGCUCGCUGGGACGUAACUGACGCUGAGACGCGAAAGCGUGGGGAGCAAAAGGG